UCUAAAUAGCAGCACAGGAGGAACAGUUGGUUGUAAACUGAGCUCUGCACUCUUGUGGUUUGUUCUUCAUUAAACUCACACUGUGAUUAAUUUACCCCUGUAAAUUCAGUAUUAAAGCAGAGAAAUAGCUGGUAUAUUUAAAACAAGGGUAACAAAAAUAAAAUGAGCCUGUUAACCAUGUGGAUAUCGGGUGCUGUUGUUCUGCUGUUAUCGGGUUGUGCUGCGGCGCAGAUUACCUACGCUAAGGACUGGGAGGUCGCGCGCAGCAGCAGAACCCCGAUCAUUAAGUGCACCGUGGACUCCUCCACCUCCCUGAGCUCCACCACCCUCCACCUGUACAAGCAGAAGCCGGAGGGAGAUAUGCGCCGCAUCAUGCACUUCCCCGCGGGCUCUCAGUCCGCCACUCUCGAUAAGGAAACUCCCAGGCGCUUUAACGCGGUGAUCCGGGAGCAGACCGUGUCUCUCACCAUCUCGCGCGUGCAGCCGGAGGACGCCGCGGUGUAUUACUGCGCGCUGUGGAAGGGGGACACCGUGCUGAACUGCAGCAGCGGAGCAGUACACAAACCGGGGCCGCGUCCCCAAUACAGCACUGCGCACUACACCCGCACUGCACCCACUUAAUAACCCCUUACUCACUUAAUAAACCUCACUAUAUAAGA
This is a non-coding RNA of Astyanax mexicanus (Mexican tetra), 659 nucleotides long. NCBI's taxonomy places the organism in Eukaryota, Metazoa, Chordata, Actinopteri, Characiformes, Acestrorhamphidae. The record is from the annotation of a RefSeq genome assembly.